Molecule: unclassified non-coding RNA, 255 nt
Filed under: Cordyceps sp.
Lineage: Eukaryota; Fungi; Ascomycota; Sordariomycetes; Hypocreales; Cordycipitaceae
Description: partial contains 5.8S ribosomal RNA, internal transcribed spacer 2, and large subunit ribosomal RNA
Source: RNAcentral
CGCACAUUGCGCCCGCCAGCAUUCUGGCGGGCAUGCCUGUUCGAGCGUCAUUUCAACCCUCGACGCCCCCUUGGGGGCAUCGGCGUUGGGGACCAGCAGCAUACCGCUGGCCCCGAAAUGGAGUGGCGGCCCGUCCGCGGCGACCUCUGCGUAGUAGUCCAACCUCGCACCGGAACCCCGACGUGGCCACGCCGUAAAACACCCCACUUUCUGAACGUUGACCUCGGAUCAGGUAGGAAUACCCGCUGAACUUAA